This 390-nucleotide long non-coding RNA is filed under the name Homo sapiens (human). RNAcentral's name for it is "non-protein coding lnc-SV2C-1:1". The record is from RNAcentral. Lineage: Eukaryota; Metazoa; Chordata; Mammalia; Primates; Hominidae.
AUGGCAGUGGAGUCAUGCGUUGCACUGGAAGAAAUUAACAAAGAUCUGGAGAUGCCCACCAACCAAGAGAAGACAUGUCCAAGCUGUCCUGUGGUCCAGUGAGUGGCAGAUCCACACUUAGAUGGAUGCAACCUUGAAUUAACUGACUAGAUUAGUAAAAGAAGUCUACCCAGAAGCUAGAAAGAAGGGCACAAACUUCAAUUUUGCAGUUGUUUUAUGGAUCUUAAAAGACAUUGCUAUCAAGUAAAGGAAACUGGAAGUGUCAUGUCUGGUAGAAAAGGGGUGAAUGAUGAAUAACCCUAAAGUGGCAGCAGUUCCAAAUAGAUUAUUUGCACAUAGCAAUUACUCCUCCAAACCAGGCACCACUUCUCUCAGGGCACAUGAGACCAU